AGAGUGAACGCUGGCGGUAGGCCUAACACAUGCAAGUCGAACGGCAGCACAGGAGAGCUUGCUCUCUGGGUGGCGAGUGGCGGACGGGUGAGGAAUACAUCGGAAUCUACCUUUUCGUGGGGGAUAACGUAGGGAAACUUACGCUAAUACCGCAUAAGACCUUCGGGUGAAAGCCGGGGACCUUCGGGCCUGGCGCGGAUAGAUGAGCCGAUGUCGGAUUAGCUUGUUGGCGGGGUAAAGGCCCACCAAGGCGACGAUCCGUAGCUGGUCUGAGAGGAUGAUCAGCCACACUGGAACUGAGACACGGUCCAGACUCCUACGGAGGCAGCAGUGGGGAAUAUUGGACAAUGGGCGCAAGCCUGAUCCAGCCAUACCGCGUGGGUGAAGAAGGCCUUCGGUUGUAAGUCCCUUUGUUGGGAAAGAAAGUCCUGCCGGUUAAUAACCGAAGUAACGGAUAGACGGUAACCCAAAGAA
Molecule: ribosomal RNA, 474 nt
Filed under: uncultured soil bacterium
Lineage: Bacteria
Description: bacterial SSU rRNA
Rfam family: Bacterial small subunit ribosomal RNA
Source: RNAcentral